UGCGGGGUCGUCUAAUUGGUAAGACUACCGACCGUCAAUCGGGUGAAUGCGGCUUCGAAUCCCGUCCCCGCAG
Molecule: transfer RNA, 73 nt
Filed under: Elusimicrobia bacterium CG22_combo_CG10-13_8_21_14_all_63_91
Lineage: Bacteria; Pseudomonadati; Elusimicrobiota
Description: tRNA-Asp
Rfam family: tRNA
About the family: Transfer RNA (tRNA) molecules are approximately 80 nucleotides in length. Their secondary structure includes four short double-helical elements and three loops (D, anti-codon, and T loops).
Source: RNAcentral